UAGCCAUGGUGAUGACACUAAUUUAACAAAUCUUUGAAUCUUUCCCAGAUUUGAUAGAACGUUUAAUUGUCUUUUGGGAAAAAGUGGAAAUCUAUCGUUUUAGACU
Small nucleolar RNA from Humulus lupulus (European hop), 106 nucleotides. The record is from RefSeq and is a predicted model, not a curated record. NCBI's taxonomy places the organism in Eukaryota, Viridiplantae, Streptophyta, Magnoliopsida, Rosales, Cannabaceae.